CCUACGGGAGGCAGCAGUGAGGAAUAUUGGUCAAUGGACGAGAGCCUGAACCAGCCAAGUAGCGUGCAGGAUGACUGCCCUACGGGUUGUAAACUUCUUUUAUACAGGAAUAACACGCGUUACGUGUACGUCUUUGCAUGUACCUUAUGAAUAAGGACCGGCUAAUUCCGUGCCAGCAGCCGCGGUAAUACGGAAGAUCCGGGCGUUAUCCGGAUUUAUUGGGGUUACAGGGAGCGUAGGCCGGAUGUCAAGCGUGCUGGGAAAUGUCCGGGCUCAACCCGGGACUUGCAGAGCGAACUGGCGGGCCGGAGGCAGCGGAAAGCAGGCGGAAUUCGUUGGGGAGGGGGGAAA
RNAcentral lists this ribosomal RNA (351 nucleotides) under uncultured bacterium. RNAcentral describes it as "partial 16S ribosomal RNA". It matches the Rfam family "Bacterial small subunit ribosomal RNA", at positions 338 to 686 of the family's 1533-position model. The record is from RNAcentral.